Long non-coding RNA from Nannospalax galili (Upper Galilee mountains blind mole rat), 3236 nucleotides. The record is from Ensembl. Lineage: Eukaryota; Metazoa; Chordata; Mammalia; Rodentia; Spalacidae.
GGGCAGGCUCUUGGCUGACCUCUCCAACCCUCUCAUGUUAGGUCCGGAAACAGCAGAAGGAACAUACAAAUCUCAUGGCAGAAUAUCGAAACAAACAGCAGCAACAACAACAGCAGCAGCAGCAGCAGCAACAACAGCAGCAGCACUCGACUGUGCUGGCCCUCAGCCCUUCUCAGAGUUCUCGUGUACUUACCAAGCUCCCUGGCCAGCUGCUCCCUGGCCAUGGGCUACAACAACCACAGGCACCUCCGGGUGGGCAGGCUGGAGGUCUUCGCCUGCCUCCAGGGGGGAUGGUACUACCUGGACAGCCUGGAGGCCCAUUCCUCAACACAGCCUUGGCCCAACAACAGCAGCAGCAACAUUCUGGUGGGACUGGAUCCUUGACUGGCCCCUCAGGGGGCUUCUUCCCUGGCAAUCUUGCUCUCCGAAGCCUUGGACCUGACUCAAGACUUUUACAGGAAAGGCAGCUACAGCUGCAACAGCAGCGCAUGCAGCUGGCCCAGAAACUGCAGCAGCAGCAGCAGCAGCAGCAGCAGCAGCAGCAGCAGCAGCACCAGCACCUCUUAGGGCAGGUGGCAAUCCAGCAGCAACAGCAGCAAGGUCCCGGAGUACAAGCAAACCAAGCUCUGGGCCCCAAGCCUCAGGGGCUUCUGCCUCCCAGCAACCACCAGGGCCUCCUGGUCCAACAGCUGUCCCCUCAGCAACUGCAAGGGUCCCAGGGUGUGCUGGGUCCUGCCCAGGUGGCAGUGUUGCAGCAACAGCACCCUGGAGCUUUGGGUCCUCAGGUCCCUCACAGACAGGUGCUUAUGACUCAGUCCAGGGUACUGAGUUCCCCUCAGCUACCACAGCAGGGUCACAGCCUUAUGGGACACCGGCUAGUCACUGCCCAGCAGCAGCAGCAACAACAGCAGCAACAACAGCAGGGACCCAUGUCAGGGCUUUCCCAUCUUCAGCAAGGACUGAUAGCACAUGGUGGACAGCCCAAAUUGAGUGCUCAGGCCUUGGGCGCCUUACAGCAGCAACAGCUUCAGCAGCAGCAGCUUCAACAACAGCAACUCCAACAGCAGCAGCAACAGCAGCAGAUAGGCCUCUUGAACCAGAGUCGAACUUUACUGUCUCCGCAGCAGCAGCAACAGCAGCAGCAGCAGCAGCAGAUGACGACGACGACGACGACGACGACGACGACACUUGGGCCUGGCAUGCCAGCCAAGCCUCUUCAACACUUUUCUAGCCCUGGAGCUCUGGGUCCAACCCUCCUCCUAUCAGGCAAGGAACAAAAUACUGUAGAGACAACGCUUCCUUCAGAGGUCACUGAGGGGCCCUCGACACAUCAAGGAGGGCCACUUGGAGUAGGAACUACACCUGAAUCAAUGGCCGUUGAACCAGGGGAGGUAAAACCCUCUGUUUCUGGAGACUCACAACUCCUGCUUAUCCAAUCCCAGGCUCAGCCUCAACCCAACUCUCUGCAGCCACCUCUGAGACUCCCAGGACAACCGCAGCAGCAGGUUAACUUGCUCCACACAGCUGGUGUAGGAAACCAUGGGCAGCAGUUAGGCAGUGGAUCCUCUUCUGAGGCCCCGUCUAUGCCCCACCUGCUGUCCCAGCCUUCUCUUUCCUUAGGAGAGCAGCCUGGGCCUAUGACCCAGAACCUUCUGGGCCCCCAACAACCUCUUGGACUAGAGCGACCAAUGCAAAAUAACACAGGGCCACAGCCUCCCAAAUCAGGACCCGUCCCCCCGUCUGGGCAGGGUCUCCCUGGGGUUGGAGUCAUGCCUACAGUGGGUCAACUUCGAGCACAGCUCCAGGGAGUCCUGGCCAAAAACCCGCAGCUGCGGCACUUGAGUCCUCAGCAGCAGCAGCAGCUGCAGGCAUUACUCACACAGCGGCAGCUGCAGCAGAGUCGGGGAGUACACCAGACCCCACCCUUCCAGGAGCCGGGGACCCAGCCCUCUCCCCUUCAGGGCCUCCUGAGUUGCCAACCUCAACCUGGGGGUUUUCCUGGAUCCCAGACAGGCCCCCUCCAGGAGCUAGGGGCAGGGCCUCGACCUCAGGACCUACCCCGGCUCCCUGUCCCACAAGGAGCCUUAUCCACAGGACCAGCCCUUGGCCCUGUCCAUCCUACACCUCCACCAUCUAGUCCCCAAGAGCCAAAGAGACCUUCACAAUUACCUUCCCCCAGUGCCCAGCUCACCCCUACCCAUCCAGGGACUCCAAAGCCCCAAGGACCAACCUUGGAGCUGCCUCCUGGCAGAGUCUCACCUGCUGCUGCCCAACUCGCAGAUAACUUCUUUGGCAAGGGACUGGGACCUUGGGACCCCUCAGAUAACCUCAUAGAGGCCCAGAAGCUAGAGCAGAACAACCUUGUUCCCGGGCAUCUGGAGCAGGUGAAUGGACAGGUGGUACACGAACCACCCCAACUCGGCAUCAAGCAGGAGCCUAGGGAAGAGCCUUGUGCCCUGGGUUCCCAGGUGGUGAAGAGGGAGGCCAAUGGAGAGCCAGUAGGGGCACCAGGCACCAGCAACCACCUUCUGCUAGCAGGCCCCCGCUCAGAGGCUGGGCAUCUGCUCCUGCAGAAGCUUCUACGAGCAAAGAAUGUGCAACUUGGUGCUGGGCGGGGGUCUGAGGGGCUGCGAGCUGAGAUCAACGGACACAUUGACAGCAAGUUGGCUGGGCUGGAGCAGAAACUGCAGGGUUCUCCUAGCAACAGGGAGGAUGCAGCGGUAAGGAAGCCUUUGACGACAAAGCCCAAGCGGGUACAGAAAGCCAGUGACAGGUUGGUGAGCUCCCGAAAGAAGCUUCGGAAGGAAGACGGGGUCAGGGCAAACGAGGCCUUGCUGAAACAGCUAAAACAGGAACUGUCCCUGCUGCCUCUGACGGAGCCUACCAUCACCUCCAAUUUUAGCCUCUUUGCUCCCUUUGGUAGUGGCUGCCCAGUCGGUGGGCAGAGUCAGCUGAGAGGGGCCUUUGGAAGUGGGACCCUGCCCACCGGCCCUGACUACUAUUCCCAGCUGCUUACAAAGAAUAACCUGAGUAACCCGCCGACACCACCCUCGUCGCUGCCCCCCACCCCACCCCCAUCGGUGCAGCAGAAGAUGGUGAAUGGCGUCACCCCCUCUGAAGAGCUGGGGGAGCACCCCAAGGAUGCGGCCUCUGCCCGGGACACUGAAGGAACACUGAGGGGUAAGUGAAGAGCUGCUUUUGCUUUCCCAGUGGAUUUGGUGGCUGAGAUCCAGGCA